CAUAGGACUAGAUUGUGGAUAAUCUGGUCCAAGCUUCCUUCAGCUUUUACAAGUGUAUGUAUCAAUCCUUUUAUUAGGCCAUGACAAAAUUGGACGUUGUGAGGAAGCAAUGCUGGUGGCUAGUUUUAUUGGUGUCUGGUUCAAUGUCCUGUUCCACUUCUUCAUUGAGUUUUGCUUCAUCAAAGUUUGUCAAAUUUUAGCCUCUAAUAAUGGAGCUCCCUCCAUUUCAGAUUGGGGUUCCAUUGCUCCAGCCUGCUAUUCUGUUGUUGCCAUUGAUGUUAAUUUUCUUGUAUUCCUUGCCUUAAAUAUAAACUGUUUUAUGCUUGUUGGUGGUGUUUUAUAAUGUUUAUAUGACUUUAUUUUAAAACUGUUAUGUAGUCUAUGGGGCUACCUCAUAAUGUUUUUAUGACUUUAUUUUCAAACUGUCAUGUAGUCUAUGGGGCUACCUCAAUGAAGUUCUGGGUUUGUGUUUUACAGUGUGCUUUAUGAUUACAUUUGGAUCAAAUGGACCAACUAUUUGAAUGGGUUGACCC
Molecule: long non-coding RNA, 533 nt
Filed under: Vitis vinifera (wine grape)
Lineage: Eukaryota; Viridiplantae; Streptophyta; Magnoliopsida; Vitales; Vitaceae
Description: long non-coding RNA (VVIN_LNC001611)
Source: RNAcentral